This 4062-nucleotide long non-coding RNA is filed under the name Sus scrofa (pig). Its description in RNAcentral is "lncRNA (ENSSSCG00000063447.1)". The record is from RNAcentral. Lineage: Eukaryota; Metazoa; Chordata; Mammalia; Artiodactyla; Suidae.
AGGGCCCGGCUGGUUAGAGGUGGGCUCCGCCCAGCCAGGCUGCUGCAGCAGACGCCGGGGCUGGGGCCUCCUCCUUCCCGGAAGGGGCUGGGAGGCUGGCUGGGCGGAUCGCAGGGGCGUGACUGGGCCCCGAGGGGCAGCUUUGGUUUCCCCAGUCUCCCGGCAGUGGCGUGUCCCCCGCCUGAGUCCUGAAGAUGUGCCCAGCUAACUCCCUGAAGAAACGCUUCCUGAAACUGAAUGUUCACAUCAAGCCCGGGCGCUCAGCGGCGAUUUGAGAUGACUUUCCAUCCCCUCGCAGCAGCAGGCCGGAAUCGGGUCCCCGAACAAACGCAGGCUCACUCGAAAAGGGGACCGCAGGAGCCAAGGUGCUCCCGAGCGGGGUCAGACUGGGCCAGCGCCGGGGCGCGAGGACCCCUGGGGCUCCUGCUUUCCCUCCGGGCACCCAAGGGUUCCACUCCUUGGCGCCAAGGGUGGUCCCUGGAGCGAUGGUCCCUGUGCGGGGCUUCGGCAGAUGGCUGCCCGUCAGCAGAGGCCAAGUGCAAAACAGGGACAAAGAAAAGCGGUGAUAGUCCCAGACCCCACGUGACUCCAGGCUGCGAUGCCGCGGCACUCAGAGAAGCCCUCUGCCUGAGGGACGGUGGCGCAGCAAUGCCACGACCUGCAGAAGUGAAACGGGAACCGCCAGGCUCGGUUGUGGGGAGAGAGUCUGGCCGGGCCUGAGUUGGCUCUCACUGGUGCCCCAAGGGCAGGCUAGAAGGCCCUGUGCCAUCCCCGCCGGUUCUAAACGCACCUCCUCCGAAGAGCAGGGAUCCGGGGCCGUUGGCUGGGUGUGCACACGUGGCCCUGCAUGUUGCCGGCAGCUGGAUGGGUCGUUCCUCCCUGGGGAUCUCGUGGCUCCACGGAGGACAGAGGCGAGCAGGCAGAAGUGCCGGCCACGCUCCCAGCUGCGCGGUUCACCCUCUGCUGGUUGGCUGUGAGCCCUGGAGCCAGUCGCUUCACCUCUGUUUGUUUCCCCAUCUGUAAAAUGGGCGGUGAAUGAGGCAGUAGGUGAACACACUUUAAGAAUCCCUUAGUUAGAAGGGAUCAAAGCUCAGAGAGUGGCCUCCUCGUUGCCAUCCCCAAAACGCUCAAGACAUCACCUUGAAGGGUCCGAAAAUGUGUCAUUUUUAAAUCACUGUCAUCUUCUUCACUGAACAGCCAUCUAAGUUCUAACUCACCCACUCCUUCUGCCUGGAAUGUAAAAGGGACCCACAGCCAUUUAAUUUUCUCCUGAACUGUUUCUGGGACCAAACACAAAACGUAGCAAGGAAAACAAGUCCCCUCACCCCCGUGUGGACCUGAGGCUCCAGGUCGGGGCAAGGCAGGCAAAAUACUCUCUUGGGGAGGAACGGGCCCUCUUUCUGAAAUUGCCUUACAAAGCCAGAGCGGGCAGGGCACCAGGCAGCAAUCCUAACGGCUUUUCAGGUGCUGGGCCCUUCCAGCAAAAUGCAUUUUGCUUUGAGGCAGGGCCUGUUACCGCAAGGGCAGAGGCAGGCGUGCAGGACAGUCAUUCCUACCCGAAUCCCCGCCCAAGUUCCCGGCUCACCUUCACCUGGGUUCCGGUGCCCAGGGCUUUUACUUUUCUAAGAAUCAAAAACCUGUGGACUUGAAGCCAUCUCUCUGUCCCCGAGCAGUGCAUGAUGAGACGUGAGUGCCAGGUCCUGUCUGUCCUGGCAGCCCAAGCCAGCCCAGCUGGGCCUGCUGGGAAGUCCGAUGUGGGAGAGGGCAGUGCAGUUUCCUGCAAACUGGAGACCAGGGCAGGGUCCUCCCAGCUGUUCAGGGCCACAUCCUAGAACCUGCAACAAUCUGUCUUUACGGCCACACUCCUGGCACAUGGAGAUUCCCAGGCCAGGGAUUGAAUCCCAGCCACAGAUGCAACCUACAGUGCAGCUGUGACAAUGAGGGAUCCUUUAACCCACUGUGCCCAGGCAGGAGCCAACCUGCAUCUCAGCAACCUGAGCCCCAGCAGUGGGAUUCUUAACCCACUGUGCCACAGCGGGAACUCUCCUCCCUGCUGCUUUGAGGCAGGGAGUUUAAGGCACUUCUAGGAAACCAAGUCCACAGAGAGUUUUUAUUAAAAAACACCGGCCAUGCGAAAUACGUUUAAGGCAAGUGGGCCGAUUCCGUGACUAGAGGUCAGUGUGAUUAGCUGUGCAGGGGGAAGAGAGGCACUGAGUUACCUGCUUCCUUGCUCAGUCCUGCUGGGACAGCUGCCAACUGCUGUAUUUGCUAAAACAAAACCUCUUUAAAAUAGCUACUCGUGUUUAAAACUUUUAAAUCACUAGCAUUUUUCUACUAUAUCCCUGAGUGCACCUGAAAGUCAGGGAUGUAAGCCCUUCAGUGUGCAGCGGACGUGACAGUCGCAGAAAGGGGCCCCUGCUUCUCUCGGGGCGGAGCGGGCCGCUGAGCUGGCCCCCCAGGCCAAGCGGAGGCGGCUUUCGAGGCUUUAAGGUCCGACUCCGACUCACAAGCAGGGACGGCGCUGGGGAGGAAUCUGCGACGUCUCCGGGGCACCUGUUCCCGCUCAAACCAGAGUUGAAUCCAGCUUCCUCCAGGGCGCACGUCGGCCUUGGGCACAGCUGCCGGGCCACACCGGGGAGGAUGCAGUCUCGGGGUGCUCUCAUCACCUGAGCACGGCUACAGGAGGGCAGUGCCACUACCUCCUGCCGUUUCUAGGACCACAGGAGCGGGACAGGCCACAACUCCAGGGCCCAGCCCGCACUUGGCUGCGUACCGCCCCUCUGCUGAGCUCCUGGGAAGGCCACCUGCCAGUGCGACCGGUCACUUGGGUUGUCCUGCUCACACCAGUGCCACCUCCUUCAGCAAAUGUUUUCGAGGUUCAACCGCAGCGGUGGCCACGCGCUGUUUACAGACGGCAAACAGAGGCGCUUGCGGCACGUGUUCAGUGCCCGGGGCCGCGGAGUGGGCAGCUGGUCCUCCUCCAAACGAAACGGUCCUGACAUCAGCGCUGACGUGAGACACGAGGGCCGCCUCAGCUGCGAAAAUCUCUCCAGGCUUGGGGGCGCUGGCUUUGCCUGUGCCUUUGGGGAUGACACCACGGUAUCUCUGCGCUCUGCCGCCCACGAGGUGCUUGCAAAGGGGGAAGCUGUGUCCGUGACUGAGACAAAGUGCUCAGGCGGACACAGGGCUGUGAGCACCUGCCCCGGCAUCAAGACGCAGGUUCCUUUUCCACCCACGCCAAGGAAUCAUUUAAGGAUGUCAGUUCAGCUGCUAACACCCCCUCUUUCUAGAUCCUUCUGCACCUUAUAAAGGGGGAUCAACAGGUAACUGGUUGCACCACAGGUGGGUGAUUUCCUAAGAUUAUCUUCAGAGAUGUAAUAUGAAAACAUUUAAAAAUCAAUGGCUUUUUUUGGGGGGGGUAGGGUGCCCAAGAAUGAGUGAGGCUCAACCAGCAUCCCUGCUGAGCAUGCUAGACCGAAGGGGAAAGCAACGCUCUUUCCAGGGCCGGUCCCCCGCCCUCUGAAGUGCCCCUGCCCCUGCGCGGAAGGCUGAGGGGGGGGCCGUCACCAGUUAACCGGCCGCCUGCCCUCACGUGACGCUCCUCUACAACUGCAGGGCUGAGGACCUGCAGCCAAGACCCUCUGGCCUGCAAAGCCAGCAACAGCAGUCUCUGGUCUCUACGGAAGAGGUCUGCUGACCUCACUCCAGAGAUCACAGCGUCAGUAGUUGAGUCUGCGAUUUUAAAAGAAAAAAGAACCUACUCCCUGCUUUUACAUUAUUUCUUUCUUUCUUUCUUUAACUUACUGAGAAACUAUUUUUACAGGUGUUCCCAUGGUGGCUCAGGGGAAACUAGUCUCACUAGCAUCCAGGAGGACACGGGUUCGAUCCCUGGCCUCACUCGGCGGGUUAAGGAUCCGGUGUUGCCAUGACCUGUGGUACAGGUCACAGACGUGGCUUGGAUCCAGCGUUGCUGCGGUGUAGGCCAGCAGCUAACAGCUCCGAUUCAACCCCUAGCCUGGGAACCUCCAUAUGCUGCAGGUGCGGCCCUAAAAAGACACACAC